UACGUAGGGGGCAAGCGUUGUCCGGAUUCAUUGGGCGUAAAGAGCGUGUAGGCGGCCAGAUAGGUCAGCUGUGAAAACCUCGGGGCUCAACCCUGAGACGUCGGUUGAAACCAUCUGGCUAGAGUCCGGAAGAGGAGUGUGGAAUUCCCGGUGUAGCGGUGAAAUGCGCAGAUAUCAGGAAGAACACCCGUGGCGGAAGGCGGCUCUCUGGGACGGUACUGACGCUGAGACGCGAAAGCGUGGGGGAGCGAACAGG
This 256-nucleotide ribosomal RNA is filed under the name uncultured bacterium. RNAcentral describes it as "partial 16S ribosomal RNA". It matches the Rfam family "Bacterial small subunit ribosomal RNA", at positions 524 to 776 of the family's 1533-position model. The record is from RNAcentral.